AUGGAGUAGGCCCACACUCUUAUAUUCAGUUAUGAGUGCAGGCCUCCUGUAUUUGGUAGUUUCGUUUGCAGUUUACAGAGUUUGCAGUAGUGGAUUUUUAUUUGCUGUUGUAAAGCUUUAAUUUACUGCAGUAUGUUUGGAUUGAAAAAAAAGAAAACUAGCAACAAGAUCAAUAUAAAAUAUCAAAUUGACAUUCUGCUUAACUGGUCUGUUUUCUUGACCACAGGGCACAGUGGGCAAAGCUCACAUCCCUACAGACAGGCUGCAGUGCGUCUGGGGCUGCUGUGUGCUCUCUUAUUGGCUGCCACAUUAGUCCUGUGUGUCCUCUAUACAAGUCAAUCAGGCAACUAUUCAAUGUUGAAGAGAGACCUGGAGGAGCUCACAACCAGUUGCAGCACCAUGAAUAAAGAGAAGGUCCAGCAACCGAAGAACUAUUCAAUGUUGGAGAGAGACCUGGACAAGCUCAGAACCAGUUGCAACACCAUGAAGGUCCAACAACAGGGUAAGUACAAUGAAAUAUUUAAGAAACCCGCCUUCUUGGAGCAGUACUGCCCCUCCAGUUCACAGAGUGAGUGGUGCUACUCUGUUGUGCAUCUGCAGAAAAGCAUUUACAUUUACACUAUUACAUACGAAAAUGUAAUUCUCAGAGUCUGCUGCCUGUUCCUCCUGUACAGACAGAGUGUGUGAACCCUGUCCACAGGGCUGGUCACAGUUCUCUUCCAAGUGUUACUACUUCUCUAAUGAGAAGAGGAACUGGAUGGGCAGUCGCAAUGACUGCAUUAAAAGGGGAGCUGACCUGGUGAUU
Anguilla rostrata (American eel) is the source of this 805-nucleotide long non-coding RNA. RefSeq lists it as uncharacterized. The record is from RefSeq and is a predicted model, not a curated record. NCBI's taxonomy places the organism in Eukaryota, Metazoa, Chordata, Actinopteri, Anguilliformes, Anguillidae. The transcript has 3 exons.